UUGUGGAAGCCACUGCUAGGGA
This 22-nucleotide non-coding RNA is filed under the name Arabidopsis thaliana (thale cress). Lineage: Eukaryota; Viridiplantae; Streptophyta; Magnoliopsida; Brassicales; Brassicaceae. The record is from RNAcentral.